ACCUAAGCAUGCUGUCAAUCAAUCGACUGCGGAAUUCAGAGAAUAGAGCCCCUCAUGAAUAUAUGCAACAUACCCAUAAAAAAGGAAUCAUUUGCGUACAUCGCCAUUUUAGCGUUGACGCCUGCUUCGACAAGAUAAAGCUAAAAUAGUACGGUAACGGUAUCGCAACGUUAUAAAACGCAUUUACCAUGCCUGGAAAAUCAGGAUGUACCGGGAAUUCGACAGAUGAUUGUGGAUGUAGUGGAAGCAGUUCAAGCAGUCAAGAUAAUAGUUGGUGUUCAUCGUGCAUAAUAUUAAGACGAGAAAAGCGUGGAGCGAUUCCAUUACCAUGACCUAACAGGCAUGGUUCGCAUCCUGUACAAUACUUUAAGAAGGUGUGUUGUUACAUUCAGCUUGUUUCAAAAGCGAAAGUCAUUCUUUGCUAGUGUUUUGCCACCCAAACAUUAGAUACAAGAUAGCGCUGCGCUUCGCAAAUAUACGAUUCACUUACUUUCGAAUUGUUAGCGAAACAAAUCAUUUCACUAGUACAUUUAAUCUCAGUUGUGUCGAUUUUGGAUUCAAGUAUAAUAUCAGAGAUGUAGAAUCUGUCAUCAGUUAUUUCAAAGGCUGAAAGUGUCCUUCUUCGACCAGGAAUUGCUUGCACAGCACAUUUCCAGAGCGUCACUACAAAGCAGCUGAAAGUGAUAUCUGAACACAAAGUUCGCUUUAUUUUCAUGGAAAAUCAUUUACUGUUUCCAAACCACUUCAUAAAAUCACAAUUUUAGCAAAAUAAUAUGGAUUGUCCACCGCAAAUCUUACUUCCUGAUAAAUGUUACAAGAUGGUGCAGUGAUUCCCAUAUUCAUUUUGUCU
Molecule: long non-coding RNA, 850 nt
Organism: Orbicella faveolata
Lineage: Eukaryota; Metazoa; Cnidaria; Anthozoa; Scleractinia; Merulinidae
Source: RefSeq, a predicted model, not a curated record